RNAcentral lists this ribosomal RNA (120 nucleotides) under Eubacteriales Family XIII. Incertae Sedis bacterium. RNAcentral's name for it is "partial 23S ribosomal RNA". It matches the Rfam family "Bacterial large subunit ribosomal RNA", at positions 1 to 120 of the family's 2925-position model. Lineage: Bacteria; Bacillati; Bacillota; Clostridia; Peptostreptococcales; Anaerovoracaceae. The record is from RNAcentral.
UGGUCAAGUAUAAAGAGCAUAAGGCGAAUGCCUUGGCACCGGAAGCCGAUGAAGGACGUGACAAGCUGCGAAAAGCUGCGGUAAGGAGCAAAUAUCCGUUAACCCGCAGAUCUCCGAAUG